UUUGUGUCUCGGCAGAGGCGGGGAGGGCCCCUGGUCCCAGCAGCAUUCUUCUGCAGGGAGGAAGGCCUUCCUUCCUUGUUCUGGGGAACCGUGAGCACCGUACUCCGUGGUUGGAGAAUAAUUGCACUUGGUGCCACGUUUCCGGGUAUUUGCAAGGGGAUUGAAAAAUGCAAUGAUUUUAAGGUGCAACGAUUUCAAGGUGAAGUUCAAUUUUUGCAUCUACCGCCUCAGCCGCUGCACUAGGU
RNAcentral lists this long non-coding RNA (245 nucleotides) under Ictidomys tridecemlineatus (thirteen-lined ground squirrel). RNAcentral's name for it is "lncRNA (ENSSTOG00000030439.1)". Lineage: Eukaryota; Metazoa; Chordata; Mammalia; Rodentia; Sciuridae. The record is from RNAcentral.